UAAUGAGAUUGCCUGGCUCGGGGCGGCACGGCCCUGGUGACGUUCGCGCGUCACUUGCGGCCCGCAUCCUUGACCUAGACCAAACGAUCAAAGUGAGCUCGUACUCGAUGGUUUUGCAUGGAAUCGUGGAACGGGGCCGGCGUUCUGUACUUCGAGAGCGCUGGCGACGAUCAACGGGAGCGACCAGGGGUGAGGGAACUGAAGGGCGAGGGGUAAAAUCUGAUGA
This 226-nucleotide ribosomal RNA is filed under the name Marteilia sp. type C NC-2011. RNAcentral describes it as "partial 18S ribosomal RNA". The record is from RNAcentral. Lineage: Eukaryota; Endomyxa; Ascetosporea; Paramyxida; Marteiliidae.